RNAcentral lists this ribosomal RNA (227 nucleotides) under uncultured bacterium. RNAcentral describes it as "partial 16S ribosomal RNA". It matches the Rfam family "Bacterial small subunit ribosomal RNA", at positions 107 to 334 of the family's 1533-position model. The record is from RNAcentral.
UGCGUAACACGUAUGCAAUCUACCUUUAACUGGGGAAUAACCCCUCGAAAGAGGGGCUAACACCGCAUAACACUUCGAUGGGACAUCCCAAUGAAGUCAAAUCUACGGAGGUUAAAGAUGAGCAUGCGUCCGAUUAGCUAGUUGGCGGGGUAACGGCCCACCAAGGCGACGAUCGGUAGGGGAUCUGAGAGGAUGAUCCCCCACACUGGUACUGAGACACGGACCAG